GGAAUUUUGCUCAAUGGGGGAAACCCUGAAGCAGCAACGCCGCGUGAGGGAUGAAUGCCUUCGGGUUGUAAACCUCUUUUUUCAGGGACGAUGAUGACGGUACCUGGAGAAUAAGUCACGGCUAACUACGUGCCAGCCGCCGCGGUAAUACGUAGGUGACCAGCGUUGUCCGGAUUUACUGGGCGUAAAGAGCGCGCAGGCGGUCCUUCAAGUCGAGUGUGAAAGCCCCCGGCUCAACUGGGGAGGGUCAUUCGAUACUGAUGGACUCGAAGGCAGGAGAGGGAAGCGGAAUUCCCGGUGUAGUGGUGAAAUGCGUAGAUAUCGGGAGGAACACCAGUGGCGAAGGCGGCUUCCUGGCCUGUUCUUGACGCUGAGGCGCGAAAGCUAGGGGAGCAAAC
RNAcentral lists this ribosomal RNA (398 nucleotides) under uncultured bacterium. Its description in RNAcentral is "bacterial SSU rRNA". It matches the Rfam family "Bacterial small subunit ribosomal RNA", at positions 358 to 773 of the family's 1533-position model. The record is from RNAcentral.